AGAGUUUGAUCAUGGCUCAGAAUCAACGCUGGCGGCGUGCCUAACACAUGCAAGUCGAACGAGAUCCAUCUUGUGGCAACACUUGGGAAGAUCUAGUGGCGAACGGGUGAGUAACACGUGAGAAACCUACCCCGGAGACCGGGAUAACCCCCCGAAAGGGGAGCUAAUACCGGAUGUCCCCAUCGGAUCGCAUGGUCUGAUGUGGAAAUGGAUUCCGCUCCGGGAGGGUCUCGCGGCCCAUCAGCUCGUUGGUGAGGUAACGGCUCACCAAGGCAUCGACGGGUAGCUGGUCUGAGAGGACGACCAGCCACACUGGGACUGAGACACGGCCCAGACUCCUACGGGAGGCAGCAGUGGGGAAUCUUGCGCAAUGGGCGAAAGCCUGACGCAGCAACGCCGCGUGGGGGAUGAAGGCCUUCGGGUUGUAAACCCCUUUCAGCAGGGACGAAAUUGACGGUACCUGCAGAAGAAGCCCCGGCUAACUACGUGCCAGCAGCCGCGGUAAUAC
RNAcentral lists this ribosomal RNA (508 nucleotides) under uncultured bacterium. RNAcentral's name for it is "bacterial SSU rRNA". It matches the Rfam family "Bacterial small subunit ribosomal RNA", at positions 8 to 526 of the family's 1533-position model. The record is from RNAcentral.